Molecule: non-coding RNA, 100 nt
Organism: Mycena latifolia
Lineage: Eukaryota; Fungi; Basidiomycota; Agaricomycetes; Agaricales; Mycenaceae
Source: the annotation of a GenBank genome assembly
GACACUAUAGAUCAGCGGGUAGAUCGCCUGCCACUUGUUAUUUGUUCUUUGAAUAAUUUUCAGGGGCGGGAGGCCGUGGGUUCGAAUCCCCGUAGUGGUA